ACGGAGGAUGCGAGCGUUAUCCGGAUUCAUUGGGUUUAAAGGGUGCGUAGGCGGACUAUUAAGUCAGUGGUGAAAUCCUGCAGCUUAACUGCAGAACUGCCAUUGAUACUGAUAGCCUUGAGUUUGGUUAAGGUAGGCGGAAUGUGUAAUGUGGCGGUGAAAUGCUGAGCUAUGGCGCAGAGCACCGAUGGCGUAGGCAGCUUACGGAGCAGACACUGACGCUGAGGCACGAAAGCGUAGGGAUGGAGGGG
Molecule: ribosomal RNA, 251 nt
Filed under: uncultured prokaryote
Description: partial 16S rRNA
Rfam family: Bacterial small subunit ribosomal RNA
Source: RNAcentral